Molecule: unclassified non-coding RNA, 364 nt
Filed under: Hevea brasiliensis (rubber tree)
Lineage: Eukaryota; Viridiplantae; Streptophyta; Magnoliopsida; Malpighiales; Euphorbiaceae
Source: RNAcentral
UUUAAAAAUUAAUUUGAUAAAAUACAAUGCCUCAAUAAGAAUUUAAAGGGUGCUUAAGUGUUACUUUUAGUUCAUAAAAUUCAACUAAUUGAAAAGAAAGAAAAAGUGGGGUGUCAUGUUAAAAGAUUCCAAGCUAUAUCAUGUAAAAAUUAAACAAAAUUUUUAUUUUUAGAAAAAAGUGUGGUAGCAUGUAAAAGAUUCCAAUAUAUAUCAUGUAAAAAUUAAAGUUUUUAUUUUUGGUAGUAAAAUAAAAAAAAAUUAAAAAUACGGACACCAAAAUAAAAAACCAUGAAAGGGUAAAAUGAUCACAACGCUGUUGUUAAACAUCAAGCUACACUUUAUUGCAAAAUAAAAUUGUUUCAAG